Molecule: ribosomal RNA, 465 nt
Filed under: uncultured bacterium
Lineage: Bacteria
Description: partial 16S ribosomal RNA
Rfam family: Bacterial small subunit ribosomal RNA
Source: RNAcentral
GACGAACGCUGGCGGCGUGCUUAACACAUGCAAGUCGAACGGAAAGGCCCCUUUGGGGGUACUCGAGUGGCGAACGGGUGAGUAACACGUGAGUAACCUGCCCUUGACUUCGGGAUAACUUCAGGAAACUGGGGCUAAUACCGGAUAGGAAUCCUUGCUGCAUGGUGGGGGUUGGAAAGCUUCGGCGGUUUUGGAUGGACUCGCGGCUUAUCAGCUUGUUGGUGGGGUAGUGGCUUACCAAGGCUUUGACGGGUAGCUGGCCUGAGAGGGCGACCGGCCACAUUGGGACUGAGAUACGGCCCAGACUCCUACGGGAGGCAGCAGUGGGGAAUAUUGCACAAUGGGCGGAAGCCUGAUGCAGCAACGCCGCGUGCGGGAUGACGGCCUUCGGGUUGUAAACCGCUUUCAGCAGGGGCGAAGCUUGUGGUGACGGUACCUGCAGAAGAAGCACCGGCUAACUACGUG